AGAAAUAUGUCUGACAAAAGAAUUACUUUGACAGAGUAAACAACAGAGGUUAAAAUCCUCAUAUUUCUA
Transfer RNA from Pan troglodytes (chimpanzee), 69 nucleotides. It matches the Rfam family "tRNA". Rfam says of the family: Transfer RNA (tRNA) molecules are approximately 80 nucleotides in length. Their secondary structure includes four short double-helical elements and three loops (D, anti-codon, and T loops). The record is from Rfam. NCBI's taxonomy places the organism in Eukaryota, Metazoa, Chordata, Mammalia, Primates, Hominidae.